AUUGAACGCUGGCGGCAGGCCUAACACAUGCAAGUCGAGCGCGAAAGUCUUCGGAUGAGUAGAGCGGCGGACGGGUGCGUAACGCGUAGGAAUCUACCUAGUAGUGGGGGACAACUCGGGGAAACUCGAGCUAAUACCGCAUACGCCCUAAGGGGGAAAGUGGGGGACCGUAAGGCCUCACGCUAUUAGAUGAGCCUGCGUAGGAUUAGCAAGUUGGUAGGGUAAAGGCCUACCAAGGCGACGAUCCUUAGCUGGUCUGAGAGGAUGAUCAGCCACACUGGAACUGAGACACGGUCCAGACUCCUACGGGAGGCAGCAGUGGGGAAUCUUGCACAAUGGGCGAAAGCCUGAUGCAGCCAUGCCGCGUGUGUGAAGAAGGCCUUCGGGUUGUAAAGCACUUUAAGUGGGGAGAAAAGGGUAGUCAUUAACACUGGCUAUCUGUGAUGUUACCCACAGAAUAAGCACCGGCAAACUUCGUGCCAGCAGCCGCAGUAA
Molecule: ribosomal RNA, 495 nt
Filed under: uncultured bacterium
Lineage: Bacteria
Description: partial 16S ribosomal RNA
Rfam family: Bacterial small subunit ribosomal RNA
Source: RNAcentral